CUGUUAGGCAUUGUGGUGUUUGGGUUGGCUCGUUGGAUUGCCGCUCCACUUGAAGUCCAGCAUUGAGUAUGGUUACUGGAUUUGGCCCAGAGAGGGUGAGAGGCCCGUGCGGGUGGAGUUUCAGACAUGAUUGGCAGUUCACCAGGUCAGCCCUAGAGUCGGGUUGUUUGAGAAUGCAGCCCAAAGUGGGUGGUAAACUCCAUCCAAGGCUAAAUACUGGCACGAGUCCGAUAGCGAACAAGUACCGUGAGGGAAAGUUGAAAAGUACUUUGAAGAGAGAGUAAACAGCACGUGAAACCGCAUGUAGGUAAACGGGUGGCGUCAAGCUGCAAGCCGAGAGAAUUCAGUUGGUCAGGUUGUUGCAUGUGCCUAGCGCAUUUAUCAGUCGGUUGGACUGGUCUGUAUGUGUAUGUGUACAGGCCUGCGUGCAGGAUUUGCAGUCCACUUUGGUUGGUGGAGCAAACUGGUUCAACUGCUGGAUUGCCUGAUCGAUGCACUUUCUCUAUGGUGGACACCACGACCGGUGGUACUGCCAGUCUGCUUUGGCCAAGUUCUUGUUGCUUCUCGCGGAGCAGCUUGGAUGACAUGCAAUUUCAGUGCACGGUGCUUAAGCGUUUCGGCGUUCAAGCAUGUUAUCGGACACUGGUUGUUUAUUCAGACUGUAUGUUCGCACAAACGUUUGUAAAGCGGUGCGUGCGUCUGGUCGGCCUUGGUGGUAUGAAUAACUGUGCAGGGCACCGUUGUCAUCGGUCUCAAAUACAUUCUGGCUGCUGCACACUUUACAAGUGGUCGCGUGAGCGUUGUCCAGCCUCGCCUAUGCUUCGAUCUGAUUGUCGUGUCGCCUGCGCAAAGUGGGUCCGGCUUUGGUCUGGUGUAGGUCGGUGUUGGCAUGGCGUUUGCCGUGGCAGUCAGUGUGGGCCUAACAGUCUGUGGUGUAGUGGUAGACUAGCUGCCCGACCCGUCUUGAAACACGGACCAAGGAGUUUAACAUGCGCGCAAGUCAAAGGGUGUGUACGAAACCCCAAGGCGCAAUGAAAGUGAAGCCUCGUCUUGUCGCGGGGUGUGGUGAGAUCCUGUUGUUACUCGCAUCGACCUAUUG
RNAcentral lists this ribosomal RNA (1099 nucleotides) under Echinobothrium rhynchobati. Its description in RNAcentral is "partial 28S ribosomal RNA". It matches the Rfam family "Eukaryotic large subunit ribosomal RNA", at positions 133 to 771 of the family's 3401-position model. The record is from RNAcentral. Lineage: Eukaryota; Metazoa; Platyhelminthes; Cestoda; Diphyllidea; Echinobothriidae.